RNAcentral lists this transfer RNA (85 nucleotides) under Lachnospiraceae bacterium. RNAcentral's name for it is "tRNA-Leu". It matches the Rfam family "tRNA". From Rfam's summary of the family: Transfer RNA (tRNA) molecules are approximately 80 nucleotides in length. Their secondary structure includes four short double-helical elements and three loops (D, anti-codon, and T loops). Further hydrogen bonds mediate the characteristic L-shaped molecular structure. tRNAs have two regions of fundamental functional importance: the anti-codon, which is responsible for specific mRNA codon recognition, and the 3' end, to which the tRNAs corresponding amino acid is attached (by aminoacyl-tRNA synthetases). tRNAs cope with the degeneracy of the genetic code in two manners: having more than one tRNA (with a specific anti-codon) for a particular amino acid; and 'wobble' base-pairing, i.e. permitting non-standard base-pairing at the 3rd anti-codon position. The record is from RNAcentral. Lineage: Bacteria; Bacillati; Bacillota; Clostridia; Lachnospirales; Lachnospiraceae.
GCCGGCGUGGCGGAACUGGCAGACGCGCGGGACUUAAAAUCCCGUUCCCCUUAAAGGAGUACCGGUUCGAUCCCGGUCGCCGGCA